This is a long non-coding RNA of Sycon ciliatum, 3787 nucleotides long. RefSeq lists it as uncharacterized. NCBI's taxonomy places the organism in Eukaryota, Metazoa, Porifera, Calcarea, Leucosolenida, Sycettidae. The transcript is spliced from 2 exons. The record is from RefSeq and is a predicted model, not a curated record.
CAGCUGCAGCGUGUCUUUCAAUGUAUUGGUCACGCGUGUUGCACCGCACCCUGCACUUGCAACUCUUACUACCAUGCUUGCAGACCCAUGACGUGCAUAGUAACUAGUCUCACUGUGUUCAUGUAUUACUCCCAUAACACACUAGGAUGACCUGAGGAAUACUAGCACAUGUACCCUGUAGACCCUUUUGAUACAUUUCACUUUCGACCUCCUUUUCAUUUAUCUACACACAUCCUAAUGAGACUUCCUUAGAAUUCCUAAUGGCUGUCUUCCCGGUACCACUUUUACGCCCAUUGCCCACACUGUUAUUCAGCUCCUUCUUCUGCAUAGAAUCAAAUGGCAUUCCUUGUGCAAUGACUGUAGCCCACACAUCUACUUUGACCUUUCUUCUUCUCUCUGCUGAGCUUUGCCGUGACCAUUGCUGUUGCAGCACGUAUGCUGUCUGCCUAUAAAAGCUGCUGUUCACAAUUCUCUAUACGCCAGUUAGAAACUACAGUUCAGUUAGAAACGACAGUUAGAAAGGCCAGUUAGAAGGGCCAGUUAGAACCUUCAGUAAUGAUUAUGUCAGUUUAGAGUUAGAGUCAGAGUUAAUGUUUAAUAAUUAUUAACAGUGUGUUCACUGAGACCCGUCUGCAUUUGCCUCCGAGAGAGACUGCGGCCCGUUACAGAAUUGGUGCCAGCGGUGGGAUUCGUUACAGAAAUGGUGGCAGCGGUGGGAUUCGCUACAGAAAUGGUGGCAGCGGUGGGAUUCGCUACAGAAUUGGUGGCAGCGGUGGUACAAUUUUAUAAUUGCUAGAUUCGAACCCACCUAGUAUCUGUAUUGCAUUGAUGGCAGCGACGCUACAGAAUCGAUGGCAGCGGUAAAUUGUUUUAUUGGUGUAACCGAUACCAGCAUGGCCCAACCUGAUGCGUCAGUCGCCGCUACUCCUUCGCCCGCCACGUCUCCCCCAAGCCCGAAAUGAUGACGGACAGCGUCUCUACCGAUCAAGCUCCAUGUCCAAUGUAAGCUUAUUCCCGAUAUGGCAUUUUCUUUCCUGUCUUCCUUCAGUCUUCCUGUUCUCUUCAGUCUUCCUUUAUGCGAGUGUGUGAAUCCAGUUUAGUUAGGUAGGCGUCCGAUCAUGGUGAGCCACGGUCUAUCUAACUAACCUGGGAUAAUGUGUGUUAGAGUGCCCUUUGUCCAGUUCAGUUUGGAACUGUGAACUAUUUUUAUGGCUCAAACGCCAUGGUGGUACAGCAAGUGUGCUGUGAGUCCUAUUUGGAGGACAAAAUUUUUCCCCUUUGGCCCCGUGAGAUCGUGUGAACCUGGAGUGAUGCUAUUUUAUGAUUUUGUUAUCAGUUCAUUUCUUCUGUCUACUCUCAAAGGUUAUCAUUUCCGAUAUUAUUUUGCCAUAUUCCGGUUGACGCUGUACCAGUAUGAUGCGCUAUCUCCUAUAAUGUUCAAUGAUUAUGUUCGCACCACCUCUCAGUCCUGUGAUAUGCUGCUGCGCUCCAGCCAGUACUUCAAUGUCAGUUGUCCUCAUUGCGUCCGGAUAUCAACCGAGGCUGUUCACGAAUACAUACCUGUAUAUGCACGUCAUCCAUUCUGCCUAUCUUCUUCCGUCGAGGUUAUUCCGACGCGACCAUGCAUGCCGCCCGUGUCUUCUAAUCUCAGUCGAUUGUCGGAGUCCGGCUAUCAACUUAUGUCACUCGCCCAGUCUAGUCUGCGCAUCUCCAUGAUCUUCUAUCAGUGUUCGUCACUUCGUGUUCUGCUACUCCUACUGUAAUCACGAGGGCGUGAUUGUGUUUAAAGAAGGAAGGUGUAGCGUUGGCACGCUAGUAACUUACACAGCUGCAGCGUGUCUUUCAAUGUAUUGGUCACGCGUGUUGCACCGCACCCUGCACUUGCAACUCUUACUACCAUGCUUGCAGACCCAUGACGUGCAUAGUAACUAGUCUCACUGUGUUCAUGUAUUACUCCCAUAACACACUAGGAUGACCUGAGGAAUACUAGCACAUGUACCCUGUAGACCCUUUUGAUACAUUUCACUUUCGACCUCCUUUUCAUUUAUCUACACACAUCCUAAUGAGACUUCCUUAGAAUUCCUAAUGGCUGUCUUCCCGGUACCACUUUUACGCCCAUUGCCCACACUGUUAUUCAGCUCCUUCUUCUGCAUAGAAUCAAAUGGCAUUCCUUGUGCAAUGACUGUAGCCCACACAUCUACUUUGACCUUUCUUCUUCUCUCUGCUGAGCUUUGCCGUGACCAUUGCUGUUGCAGCACGUAUGCUGUCUGCCUAUAAAAGCUGCUGUUCACAAUUCUCUAUACGCCAGUUAGAAACUACAGUUCAGUUAGAAACGACAGUUAGAAAGGCCAGUUAGAAGGGCCAGUUAGAACCUUCAGUAAUGAUUAUGUCAGUUUAGAGUUAGAGUCAGAGUUAAUGUUUAAUAAUUAUUAACAGUGUGUUCACUGAGACCCGUCUGCAUUUGCCUCCGAGAGAGACUGCGGCCCGUUACAGAAUUGGUGCCAGCGGUGGGAUUCGUUACAGAAAUGGUGGCAGCGGUGGGAUUCGCUACAGAAAUGGUGGCAGCGGUGGGAUUCGCUACAGAAUUGGUGGCAGCGGUGGUACAAUUUUAUAAUUGCUAGAUUCGAACCCACCUAGUAUCUGUAUUGCAUUGAUGGCAGCGACGCUACAGAAUCGAUGGCAGCGGUAAAUUGUUUUAUUGGUGUAACCGAUACCAGCAUGGCCCAACCUGAUGCGUCAGUCGCCGCUACUCCUUCGCCCGCCACGUCUCCCCCAAGCCCGAAAUGAUGACGGACAGCGUCUCUACCGAUCAAGCUCCAUGUCCAAUUCCUGUGAUAUGCUGCUGCGCUCCAGCCAGUACUUCAAUGUCAGUUGUCCUCAUUGCGUCCGGAUAUCAACCGAGGCUGUUCACGAAUACAUACCUGUAUAUGCACGUCAUCCAUUCUGCCUAUCUUCUUCCGUCGAGGUUAUUCCGACGCGACCAUGCAUGCCGCCCGUGUCUUCUAAUCUCAGUCGAUUGUCGGAGUCCGGCUAUCAACUUAUGUCACUCGCCCAGUCUAGUCUGCGCAUCUCCAUGAUCUUCUAUCAGUGUUCGUCACUUCGUGUUCUGCUACUCCUACUGUAAUCACGAGGGCGUGAUUGUGUUUAAAGAAGGAAGGUGUAGCGUUGGCACGCUAGUAACUUACACAGCUGCAGCGUGUCUUUCAAUGUAUUGGUCACGCGUGUUGCACCGCACCCUGCACUUGCAACUCUUACUACCAUGCUUGCAGACCCAUGACGUGCAUAGUAACUAGUCUCACUGUGUUCAUGUAUUACUCCCACACACUAGGAUGACCUGAGGAAUACUAGCACAUGUACCCUGUAGACCCUUUUGAUACAUUUCACUUUCGACCUCCUUUUCAUUUAUCUACACACAUCCUAAUGAGACUUCCUUAGAAUUCCUAAUGGCUGUCUUCCCGGUACCACUUUUACGCCCAUUGCCCACACUGUUAUUCAGCUCCUUCUUCUGCAUAGAAUCAAAUGGCAUUCCUUGUGCAAUGACUGUAGCCCACACAUCUACUUUGACCUUUCUUCUUCUCUCUGCUGAGCUUUGCCGUGACCAUUGCUGUUGCAGCACGUAUGCUGUCUGCCUAUAAAAGCUGCUGUUCACAAUUCUCUAUACGCCAGUUAGAAACUACAGUUCAGUUAGAAACGACAGUUAGAAAGGCCAGUUAGAAGGGCCAGUUAGAACCUUCAGUAAUGAUUAUGUCAGUUUAGAGUUAGAGUCAGAGUUAAUGUUUAAUAAUUA